AGAGUUUGAUGAUGGCUCAGAGUGAACGCUGGCGGCGUGCCUAACACAUGCAAGUCGAACGAGAACGGAUAUAAGUUUACUUAUAUUGUCAGCUAAGUGGCGCACGGGUGAGUAAUAUAUAGUUAAUCUGCCCUGAAGAAGAGAAUAAUUGUUGGAAACGACUUGUAAUGCUCUAUAUGCCUUUAUCACAUAAGUGAGCAAGGGAAAUAUUUAUAGCUUCGGGAUGAGACUGUACGGUAUCAGCUAGUUGGUGAGGUAAUGGCUCACCAAGGCUAUGACAUCUAACUGGUUUGAGAGGAUGAUCAGUCACACUGGAACUGAGACACGGUCCAGACUCCUACGGGAGGCAGCAGUGGGGAAUAUUGCACAAUGGAGGAAACUCUGAUGCAGCAACGCCGCGUGGAGGAUGACACAUUUCGGUGCGUAAACUCCUUUUAUUAGGGAAGAUAAUGACGGUACCUAAUGAAUAAGCACCGGCUAACUCCGUGCCAGCAGCCGCGGUAAUACGGGGGGUGCAAGCGUUACUCGGAAUCACUGGGCGUAAAGAGCAUGUAGGCUGAUUAGUAAGUUGGAAGUGAAAUCCUAUGGCUCAA
Molecule: ribosomal RNA, 593 nt
Filed under: uncultured bacterium
Lineage: Bacteria
Description: bacterial SSU rRNA
Rfam family: Bacterial small subunit ribosomal RNA
Source: RNAcentral